ACGCUCGACACCUACGUGAGGCAGCAGUGGGGAAUAUUGCACAAUGGGGGAAACCCUGAUGCAGCGACGCCGCGUGAAGGAAGAAGUAUUUCGGUAUGUAAACUUCUAUCAGCAGGGAAGAAGAUGACGGUACCUGACUAAGAAGCCCCGGCUAACUACGUGCCAGCAGCCGCGGUAAUCUGAGCGGGCUGGCAAGGC
Molecule: ribosomal RNA, 198 nt
Filed under: uncultured bacterium
Lineage: Bacteria
Description: partial 16S ribosomal RNA
Rfam family: Bacterial small subunit ribosomal RNA
Source: RNAcentral